UCCCUGGUGGUCCAGUGGUUAAGACUCUGUGCUUCCAAUGCAGGGGGUGCAGGUUUGAUCCCUGGCCAGGGAA
This is a transfer RNA of Ovis aries (sheep), 73 nucleotides long. It matches the Rfam family "tRNA". From Rfam's summary of the family: Transfer RNA (tRNA) molecules are approximately 80 nucleotides in length. Their secondary structure includes four short double-helical elements and three loops (D, anti-codon, and T loops). Further hydrogen bonds mediate the characteristic L-shaped molecular structure. tRNAs have two regions of fundamental functional importance: the anti-codon, which is responsible for specific mRNA codon recognition, and the 3' end, to which the tRNAs corresponding amino acid is attached (by aminoacyl-tRNA synthetases). tRNAs cope with the degeneracy of the genetic code in two manners: having more than one tRNA (with a specific anti-codon) for a particular amino acid; and 'wobble' base-pairing, i.e. permitting non-standard base-pairing at the 3rd anti-codon position. The record is from Rfam. NCBI's taxonomy places the organism in Eukaryota, Metazoa, Chordata, Mammalia, Artiodactyla, Bovidae.